RNAcentral lists this long non-coding RNA (882 nucleotides) under Mytilus galloprovincialis (Mediterranean mussel). Lineage: Eukaryota; Metazoa; Mollusca; Bivalvia; Mytilida; Mytilidae. The record is from RNAcentral.
CUAGAACGUCCUAUUAACCUUUGACCUUGACCUCAAUUUCAAGGUCACCAACCAAGGACCUCAAACAAAAAGACCCUAGGUCUGUAAUAUGUAUGGUUAAUGAGUUAUAUCACUAUAGGCAUGAUUUUAAAUAUAAGAUGGGCGAAAACUCUCAUUUAUUGUUUACGCACCCUUCCAACCAAAAUUUAUAAGUUACAACAUGUCGCAACUCACAAUUUAGUAAAAAGAAUUUGUCGAUAUCUUUCACGGUUGUUGAAAAUAAGAGAAAAUAAGCCUAAAUCAAAAUUUAGAAUAUGACCUUGACCUUUGACCUUGACCUUAUUUUCAUUUUUUUGGACCAAGGACCUCAAAUCUAAAGACCCUAGGCCUAUAUCACUGAUGGUUUACCAGUAAGAAACACAUAUCACUUAUAUCAAAUGCAUUAGGGGAAAUAACUCUCAUAUGGAGUCUCCGGAUAGCUUCGGUCCAAAUGAAUAUUCUAAUCCUGAAGACGUAACGAGCAAUUUGGUAAAAUAAAUUUGUCGUAAUCUUUUACGGUUGCGAAGGAGUAGUGGCCACAAGAAUAACAGUGUUUGGGGAGAUAACUCUUACAACGUAAAGUAUUUUGUUACGCAGUUGUAAAUUUUUAAAGCGUAUAAACUAUACGACAUCAUAUUCCAAAUAUCUAAGCGACAUCUUUUGAAAUAUCAAUACUACGCAAGAAAAAAAAUUUAGGCGGAAGAAAAAAAAAAAAAAAAAUAAUAAUAAUAAUAAUAAUAAUAAUAAUCAGAACAAAUUCAAUAGGUCUUUCCACGGAAAGGUGGAAAGACCUAAUAAUAAUAAUAAUAAUAAUCAGAACAAAUACAAUAGGUCUUUCAACAGAAAGGUUGAAAGACCUAAUAA